RNAcentral lists this ribosomal RNA (497 nucleotides) under uncultured bacterium. RNAcentral's name for it is "partial 16S ribosomal RNA". It matches the Rfam family "Bacterial small subunit ribosomal RNA", at positions 28 to 507 of the family's 1533-position model. The record is from RNAcentral.
GAUGAACGCUGGCGGCGUGCCUAAUACAUGCAAGUCGAGCGAACAGAUGAGGAGCUUGCUCCUCUGACGUUAGCGGCGGACGGGUGAGUAACACGUGGAUAACCUACCUAUAAGACUGGGAUAACUUCGGGAAACCGGAGCUAAUACCGGAUAAUAUAUUGAACCGCAUGGUUCAAUAGUGAAAGACGGUUUUGCUGUCACUUAUAGGUGGAUCCGCGCCGCAUUAGCUAGUUGGUAAGGUAACGGCUUACCAAGGCAACGAUGCGUAGCCGACCUGAGAGGGUGAUCGGCCACACUGGAACUGAGACACGGUCCAGACUCCUACGGGAGGCAGCAGUAGGGAAUCUUCCGCAAUGGGUGAAAGCCUGACGGAGCAACGCCGCGUGAGUGAUGAAGGUCUUCGGAUCGUAAAACUCUGUUAUUAGGGAAGAACAAAUGUGUAAGUAACUAUGCACGUCUUGACGGUACCUAAUCAGAAAGCCACGGCUAACUACGUG